AGAGUUUGAUCCUGGCUCAGGAUGAACGCUGGCGGUAUGCCUAACACAUGCAAGUCGAACGGUGUCUUCGGACACAGUGGCGGACGGGUGAGUAACGCGUGAGAAUCUGCCUCUAGGUUGGGGACAACAGUUGGAAACGACUGCUAAUACCCGAUGUGCCGUAAGGUAAAAGAUUUAUUGCCUGGAGAGGAGCUCGCGUCUGAUUAGCUAGUUGGUGGGGUAAAAGCCUACCAAGGCAGCGAUCAGUAGCUGGUCUGAGAGGAUGAGCAGCCACACUGGGACUGAGACACGGCCCAGACUCCUACGGGAGGCAGCAGUGGGGAAUUUUCCGCAAUGGGCGAAAGCCUGACGGAGCAAUACCGCGUGAGGGAGGAAGGCCUUUGGGUUGUAAACCUCUUUUCUCAGGGAAGAAGAUCUGACGGUACCUGAGGAAUAAGCAUCGGCUAACUCCGUGUCAGCAGCCGCGGUAAUACGGAGGAUGCAAGCGUUAUCCGGAAUCAUUGGGCGUAAAGCGUCCGCAGGUGGUUUUUCAAGUCUGCUGUUAAAGACUGGAGCUCAACUCCGGAAAGGCAGUGGAAACUGAGAAACUAGAGUUCGGUAGGGGUAGCGGGAAUUCCCAGUGUAGCGGUGAAAUGCGUAGAUAUUGGGAAGGACAUCGGUGGCGAAGGCGCGCUACUGGACCGAAACUGACACUCAGGGACGAAAGCUAGGGGAGCGAAAGGGAUUAGAUACCCCUGUAGUCCUAGCUGUAAACGAUGGAAACUAGGUGUGGCUUGUAUCGACCCGAGCCGUGCCGUAGCUAACGCGUUAAGUUUCCCGCCUGGGGAGUACGCACGCAAGUGUGAAACUCAAAGGAAUUGACGGGGGCCCGCACAAGCGGUGGAGUAUGUGGUUUAAUUCGAUGCAACGCGAAGAACCUUACCAGGGCUUGACAUGUCGCAAUCUCCUUGAAAGGGGAGAGUGCCUUCGGGAGCGCGAACACAGGUGGUGCAUGGCUGUCGUCAGCUCGUGUCGUGAGAUGUUGGGUUAAGUCCCGCAACGAGCGCAACCCUCGUCUUUAGUUGCCAGCAUUAAGGUGGGCACUUUGGAGAGACUGCCGGCGAUAAGUCGGAGGAAGGUGGGGACGACGUCAAAUCAUCAUGCCCCUUAUGACCUGGGCUACACACGUACUACAAUGGCCGUUACAGAGGGCAGCGAAACCGCGAGGUGGAGCAAAUCCCCAAAGGCGGCCCCAGUUCGGAUUGCAGGCUGAAACUCGCCUGCAUGAAGUCGGAAUUGCUAGUAAUGGUAGGUCAGCAUACUACCGUGAAUACGUUCCCGGGCCUUGUACACACCGCCCGUCACACCAUGAGAGUUGGUAAUACCCGAAGUCAGUAGUUUAACCGUAAGGAGGACGCUGCCGAAGGUAGGGCCGAUGAUUAGGGUGAAGUC
RNAcentral lists this ribosomal RNA (1431 nucleotides) under metagenome. RNAcentral describes it as "bacterial SSU rRNA". It matches the Rfam family "Bacterial small subunit ribosomal RNA". The record is from RNAcentral.